CAGUAGCCGCGGUAAUACGUAGGUGGCAAGCGUUGUCCGGAUUUAUUGGGCGUAAAGCGAGCGCAGGCGGUUCCUUAAGUCUGAUGUGAAAGCCCCCGGCUCAACCGGGGAGGGUCAUUGGAAACUGGGGAACUUGAGUGCAGAAGAGGAGAGUGGAAUUCCAUGUGUAGCGGUGAAAUGCGUAGAUAUAUGGAGGAACACCAGUGGCGAGGGCGACUCUCUGGUCUGUAACUGACGCUGAGGCUCGAAAGCGUGGGUAGCGAACAGGAUUAGAUACCCCUGUAGUCCCUGUCUCUUAUAC
This 301-nucleotide ribosomal RNA is filed under the name uncultured bacterium. RNAcentral describes it as "partial 16S ribosomal RNA". It matches the Rfam family "Bacterial small subunit ribosomal RNA", at positions 509 to 807 of the family's 1533-position model. The record is from RNAcentral.